RNAcentral lists this microRNA precursor (181 nucleotides) under Oryza sativa (Asian cultivated rice). RNAcentral describes it as "miR2876 stem-loop (osa-MIR2876)". Lineage: Eukaryota; Viridiplantae; Streptophyta; Magnoliopsida; Poales; Poaceae. The record is from miRBase by way of RNAcentral.
UUUUUGAGGAAAUUGCUGGCAGCACUGUUUAUAUAGAAAUUUCUGUAAAAUAAUUGCUCCUGAGCUUGUGUUUGUCAUAAAUGUUAGUUGUUACUGUAGAUGUUUCUUUCCUUAAAAGUUUCCCUAAACAUUCUUGCUUGUUUACAGGAAUUCCUAUAUGAACACUGUUGCCAGCAAUUUG